This 523-nucleotide ribosomal RNA is filed under the name Placosoma glabellum. RNAcentral's name for it is "partial 16S ribosomal RNA". It matches the Rfam family "Bacterial large subunit ribosomal RNA", at positions 1808 to 2614 of the family's 2925-position model. The record is from RNAcentral. Lineage: Eukaryota; Metazoa; Chordata; Lepidosauria; Squamata; Gymnophthalmidae.
CAAAAACAUAGCCUUUAGCAAAAAGUAUUAAAGGUGACGCCUGCCCAGUGAUAUUUAAACGGCCGCGGGACCCUCACCGUGCAAAGGUAGCAUAACCACUUGUCCCCUCAAUAGUGACUAGUAUGAACGGCCAAAUGAAGAUUUUACUGUCUCUAGUAAUAGGUCAAUGAAACUAUUUUUUUAGUACAAAAACUAAAAUAAUAUUAUAAGACGAAAAGACCCUGUGGAACUUUAUAAAUAAUACUCAAAUAAAUGAUUACUUAUUUUUAGUUGGGGCAACUUUGGAAAUAAAUUAAACUUCCAAUAUAAUAUAAGACAGACAUGUCUACAUAUAAAUUAGCGAUCCAGUACUACUGACCAAAGAACCAAGCUACCCCAGGGAUAACAGCGCCAUCCCCUCAUAGAGCCCAAAUCGACGAGCGGGGUUUACGACCUCGAUGUUGGAUCAGGGCCCCCAGACAGUGCAACAGCUGCCAAUGGUUUGUUUGUUCAACAAUUAAUGCCCUACGUGAUCUGAGUUCAG